CUCUGCUUGAGUGGGUUUGGUCCCUGUGUUCCAGUGAGCCAGUGCACACCAGUGCAGCUUUGGGAGAUUGCUUCCUAGGUUCGAUGGGUACAGGGCAAACUGGAGCACGUAUGGGGUAAGUGAGAACCCCAGCAGCUGUAAAGAGCCCAGGACAAUACAAAAGAAACAGAACCCAGAAGACUGGUAUGGAAAGUGCCAGAAGGUGUCACCACAGAAUGGACGAUGAAAAUAUAAAUGAGCCAACACUGAGUACUUGCAACGUGCAAAACCCUGACGGUGCUAGGUGCUGCAGCUGACAGAAGGAUGUAUAAAAUAUGAAUUACUGCCAUUGAGGAAAAGGAUAUUAUGCAUAGGAGGCCCAACGCCCACAGUUCCUACAUGUGGAAGAGAGAGAAAGCCCGCCCACUGUCUUCCCCACAUUCUUUCUCAUCCAAGUUGAACUGUUCUGCAGCAAAAACAAAAGAGCAAUUGAGCAUUCAUCUCUAUCAGGAGAGUAUAAGUUCUCAAAUGAGCUUCUGAAAAGACUUCACUUUCUGAAUUAAAUAAUUAAUUAAUUAAAAACUUCAAACAACUGCUGAGCUGUGUGGACAGUCUUCCAACCUCAAAUGGUUUAGUCUGUUUUCCAGUGGAAUCUCAAGCCCCCACUUCUGACCAUCCUCUGGACGUGUCUGCCUGGCUGCCCCCUCAGACUCCAAGUCUUUAAUGCUGAACUAUGGGUCGUCUCCAGACCAGUCCUUUCUGGACUCGCGCACCUUGGUACACAGCACACCCCUUACCAUGGCCUCCCGGAGAUUUCAGGCAUUUUCAAGGCCUCAGUUCAAAUCCUCCUUCUUCAUCAAGGACUGUCCUCACAAAAUCUACAUCAGCUGCCAUCAUAUUCAGUUUUUUUGUUGGAAAAAAACCAUUAUCUCCUCACCUGGACUGUGCGGCCUGGUAAAGAAGGGGACGUGUUUUCUGAUGUUGCAGUCAGUCAAGAUUUCUCAGUAAAAACUCUUAACUUAAAACCUCAGGUAAAGAUGUGGAAAUUGAUUUCAAAAAGAUGGAAAAAAUAACUCCCUUAAACGCUGAGGGAAAUGAAAAUAUAAUAGGGGAGGUGAAAAUAAAGACCCUAAAUGCCUGGAGAAUUAUCAGAGUGAAAAACCAGAAAAUUGGGAGCCUGAAAGAGCUAACCACAUUCUAAGCAGACAUUUUAGCAAUUUGAUGCAACUUUUGUCUUUUAACAUACUUUUAACUAUUUAAACUGAACGUUGUAAAGGCAACUGCCAUUUGGGGAGCACUUCUAGUUUCUUCCCCUCCCUGGGGAAAUGGAAGGUUUAUGUCCCCAACAUCACAAGGAGCAAGCAACAAACUCCGAGGGGGAAGAGCAGUGAACAAGUACUGAAUCCGUAGGAUGAACAGGCCUUACUGCCUGUUGGGAAAUACCACAUGCCCUUUUAAACACCGUGAACAAAGAAGAGGAGCAGUGGAGCAGCUCUGUGCUCAUGAGCACAAACCCACUGCCACAUGAAUGGCUCUAUAUGUCUCACUUCUCCCACAAAGGAAAAAAGUAGGAUCCUUCCCCUGUUAGGUGGCAUUUCGUCGCUUGACACUCAGUUCAACUAUUUACAUCUGGAAAACAACCCAAAGAAGCAGAAUUCAAACAAUUGUGAGGGCCAAGCAGGCAAGAGAUAGGAAGAGGCAACUUUGCAAACCCUUUCCUGUGACACUUUUUAAAUUUCCCUUUGACCAGACAGCGCAUCUGAGCAUGGGUGCUUCCAAUCACUUCAAAGAGAGCUUUCUGUCCUGCUGAAUAUUUUGGGGCCAUGGGCCAAGGCAAGUCAUGGGCUAGCACUUUUAUGCGGGGUCUUUGAUCAAGCUUCCUUUAAUCUCUUAUCGUGGGUUUGAUUCUCGUUUUGCACCUUACCGCCCAGACCUCCUCUGUGCUGACUUUUCUUUGAAGUCAGCGGUAGACCUGCGGGUAGAAGGCCUGUAGGAAACAGACGCUCAACUGUCAAAUUGGUCAUAAUUGUUUUUAUAUUUUGCACUUUGUUUUGAAUUACUCAACCUCUCCACAC
This is a long non-coding RNA of Hyaena hyaena (striped hyena), 2054 nucleotides long. RefSeq lists it as uncharacterized. Lineage: Eukaryota; Metazoa; Chordata; Mammalia; Carnivora; Hyaenidae. The transcript is spliced from 3 exons. The record is from RefSeq and is a predicted model, not a curated record.